GUAGGUGGCAAGCGUUGUCCGGAAUUAUUGGGCGUAAAGCGCGCGCAGGCGGUUCGUUUAAGUCUGAUGUGAAAGCCCACGGGCUCAACCGUGAGGGUCAUUGGAAACUGGAGAACUUGAGUACAGAAGAGGAAAGCGGAAUUCCACGUGUAGCGGUGAAAUGCGUAGAGAUGUGGAGGAACACCAGUGGCGAAGGCGGCUUUCUGGUCUGUAACUGACGCUGAGGCGCGAAAGCGUGGGGAGCAAACAGGAUUAGAUACCCUGGUAGUCCACGCCGUAAACGAUGAGUGCUAAGUGUUAGGGGGGUUUCCGCCCCUUAGUGCUGCAGCUAACGCAUUAAGCACUCCGCCUGGGGAGUACGGCCGCAAGGCUG
RNAcentral lists this ribosomal RNA (373 nucleotides) under uncultured organism. RNAcentral's name for it is "partial 16S ribosomal RNA". It matches the Rfam family "Bacterial small subunit ribosomal RNA", at positions 527 to 896 of the family's 1533-position model. The record is from RNAcentral.